CUGACUACCGUCCAGGGGACCGGUGUGUGGCUAUCAACACAGGACCUCCCUCUCCACCUGUCCUGUCGUAAGUUGGCGCCCCGGUAUGUGGGGCUGAUCAAGGACCUCCGGAAGGGUUGGUUCCUUGUCAACUGGGGGGUUCGGAGCCCGCUGCCACUCCACCGGGUCCGUUUGAGGUGGAAGGGGGUCCUGUGUACGCGAUGGAAGCCAUCCUGGACUCCCAGCAGCGGUGGGGUCAGCUCCUGUACCUGGUGGACUGGGCAGGCUACUGAUUGGAGGAUAAUAGACUGUAAUCUAACACUACGGCCCUGAAGAGCGCUGUUGGGGAACGACCACACUUGCCUGCCGGACAGGCCCGGGGCCCACCCCACCCGGUGCACCGACAGGUGUUGUAGUCAUGGUGUGGCAGUGCCAAACCCUCGACUGUGCUCUUCCUCGCCGGAGUACUAAUCACCAGCAUGGGAACGAUAGCAGCAACUCUCCUUCCCCACACCUCGUUGUGUUGACUACCAUUGCUUUAAGUUGCCCUGUUUUCUGUUCCCC
Long non-coding RNA from Esox lucius (northern pike), 543 nucleotides. The record is from Ensembl. NCBI's taxonomy places the organism in Eukaryota, Metazoa, Chordata, Actinopteri, Esociformes, Esocidae.